Molecule: ribosomal RNA, 412 nt
Filed under: Yersinia sp. AZTITEMP306
Lineage: Bacteria; Pseudomonadati; Pseudomonadota; Gammaproteobacteria; Enterobacterales; Yersiniaceae
Description: bacterial SSU rRNA
Rfam family: Bacterial small subunit ribosomal RNA
Source: RNAcentral
UGGUGGAGCAUGUGGUUUAAUUCGAUGCAACGCGAAGAACCUUACCUACUCUUGACAUCCACAGAACUUAGCAGAGAUGCUUCGGUGCCUUCGGGAACUGUGAGACAGGUGCUGCAUGGCUGUCGUCAGCUCGUGUUGUGAAAUGUUGGGUUAAGUCCCGCAACGAGCGCAACCCUUAUCCUUUGUUGCCAGCACGUAAUGGUGGGAACUCAAGGGAGACUGCCGGUGACAAACCGGAGGAAGGUGGGGAUGACGUCAAGUCAUCAUGGCCCUUACGAGUAGGGCUACACACGUGCUACAAUGGCAGAUACAAAGUGAAGCGAACUCGCGAGAGCAAGCGGACCACAUAAAGUCUGUCGUAGUCCGGAUUGGAGUCUGCAACUCGACUCCANGAAGUNNNAAUCGCUAGUAA